Long non-coding RNA from Haplochromis burtoni (Burton's mouthbrooder), 938 nucleotides. RefSeq lists it as uncharacterized. The record is from RefSeq and is a predicted model, not a curated record. Lineage: Eukaryota; Metazoa; Chordata; Actinopteri; Cichliformes; Cichlidae. The transcript is spliced from 2 exons.
UUUUACCCAGGCUGGAAGCUUAAAAAUACACCAACUCAUCCACAGUGGAGUUAAAGCACACACCUGUGACUUGUGUGGAAAGUCUUUUACCCGGGCUGGAGAAUUAAAAAUACACAGACUCAUCCACAGUGAAUUUAAAGCGUACAACUGUGACUUGUGUGGAAAGUCUUUUACCCACGCUCAAAACUUUAAAACACACCAACUCAUCCACAGUGGAGUUAAACCUUACAGCUGUGACUUGUGUGGAAAGUCUUUUACCCAUCGUAAAUGCCUAAAAUUACACCAUAUCAUCCACAGUGGAGUUAAAGCACACAGCUGUGAGAUGUGUGGCAAGACGUUUGCUCAAAAUAGCGACUUACAGAAGCAUCUAGUUACCCACUCUGGAAUUAAGGCGUACAGCUGCGACUUUUGUGGAAAAAGUUUCAGCGACAAACAGUACCGAAAUAUUCACCUACGGUUUCACACUGGAAAUGAUGUUUCCCGCUGUGAUCAGUGUGGGAAACUGUUUGCAACAGAUGCACAGUUACAACAACACAUGUUUAUCCACACUGAGGAGAGACCUUAUAAAUGUGACCUGUGUCAGAAGACCUUUAAAUCUCCACAUCACCUGAAAAAACACCAAAAGACCCACACCAGAAAGUAACUCUACAAGUGCAGUUACUAAUCAGAGCGACACAGAUGGAUCCAGUUCUCAACCCUGUCGUCACUGUGGUGGUGGGAAAGCUUCUCUGUGACCUUUGUAGAAAAACUUCCAAUCAUCAACGGGACCUUAAACCACAAACGAAGCCACACUGGAGACAAAAUGAACUACUGCAAAGAAUGUGGGAGAGGCUUCCACACACCAAGUACAUUAAAAUACAUGACCUCUCCACAGUGGGGUCAAAAAGCACAUCUGUGACCAGUGUGGGUCAUCCUUCACCACUGGACAUAAGCUCAAU